RNAcentral lists this ribosomal RNA (29 nucleotides) under Bionia sp. JFBP-2014d. RNAcentral's name for it is "partial 18S ribosomal RNA". The record is from RNAcentral. Lineage: Eukaryota; Viridiplantae; Streptophyta; Magnoliopsida; Fabales; Fabaceae.
CCUGGUUGAUCCUGCCAGUAGUCAUAUGC